Molecule: ribosomal RNA, 456 nt
Filed under: Ancylomenes adularans
Lineage: Eukaryota; Metazoa; Arthropoda; Malacostraca; Decapoda; Palaemonidae
Description: partial 16S ribosomal RNA
Rfam family: Bacterial large subunit ribosomal RNA
Source: RNAcentral
AGGGCCGCGGUAUUUUGACCGUGCGAAGGUAGCAUAAUCAGUAGUCUUUUAAUUUGGGGCUGGAAUGAAUGGUCGGAUGAGGUAUAGGCUGUCUUUAUCUUAUAUUAUAAUUUAACUUUUAAGUGAAAAGGCUUAAAUUUAAUAGGGGGACGAUAAGACCCUAUAAAACUUUAUAUAAAUAAAUUUAGUUUGAGAAUUUGGUUUAAUUUUUAUUAGAAUGUUUUGUAUUUUGUUGGGGAGACAGGAAUAUAAUUUUAACUGUUCAUUAGAUUAUAUACUUAUAGGUGUGUUAUGAUCCUUUUUUAAAGAUUAAAAGAUUAAGUUACUUUAGGGAUAACAGUGUAAUUUCUUUUGAGAGUUCUUAUCGACAAAGAUAGUUGCAACCUCGAUGUUGAAUUAAAAUUUUAAAAAGGUGUAGUAGCUUUUUUGGUAGGUCUGUUCGACCUUUAAAAUUUU